RNAcentral lists this unclassified non-coding RNA (228 nucleotides) under Hevea brasiliensis (rubber tree). The record is from RNAcentral. Lineage: Eukaryota; Viridiplantae; Streptophyta; Magnoliopsida; Malpighiales; Euphorbiaceae.
GGAAGACAAAUCCUUGCAGAAGGUUGCGAUUUCAGGCCCAAUCUUAGCCUCUUUGAUCCAACGCUUCUCCUCCUCCUCCGGCGCCGUCGACGGCCUUCUUUUCGGUCAUGUCUCCGACGUUACCCCCUUAUCCCUCUCCGAUGAUUCAUCUUCUUCAACCAACACCGAACCAUCACUACGCGUCGCCACCAUCACCGGGUUUCUCUGCUCCGGUACCACCAAUAGCUU